RNAcentral lists this ribosomal RNA (440 nucleotides) under uncultured bacterium. RNAcentral describes it as "partial 16S ribosomal RNA". It matches the Rfam family "Bacterial small subunit ribosomal RNA", at positions 338 to 795 of the family's 1533-position model. The record is from RNAcentral.
CCUACGGGUGGCAGCAGUGGGGAAUAUUGGACAAUGGGCGAAAGCCUGAUCCAGCAAUGCCGCGUGAGUGAUGAAGGCCUUAGGGUUGUAAAGCUCUUUUACCCGGGAUGAUAAUGACAGUACCGGGAGAAUAAGCUCCGGCUAACUCCGUGCCAGCAGCCGCGGUAAUACGGAGGGAGCUAGCGUUGUUCGGAAUUACUGGGCGUAAAGCGCGCGUAGGCGGUUACUCAAGUCAGAGGUGAAAGCCCGGGGCUCAACCCCGGAACUGCCUUUGAAACUAGGUGACUAGAAUCUUGGAGAGGUCAGUGGAAUUCCGAGUGUAGAGGUGAAAUUCGUAGAUAUUCGGAAGAACACCAGUGGCGAAGGCGACUGACUGGACAAGUAUUGACGCUGAGGUGCGAAAGCGUGGGGAGCAAACAGGAUUAGAUACCCCUGUAGUC